RNAcentral lists this long non-coding RNA (1285 nucleotides) under Mustela putorius furo (domestic ferret). RNAcentral's name for it is "lncRNA (ENSMPUG00000029807.1)". The record is from RNAcentral. Lineage: Eukaryota; Metazoa; Chordata; Mammalia; Carnivora; Mustelidae.
GCGCGUUGAGGGCGUUCGGUGAAGGCCGGAAGUAGCCGAGGAGGGUGGAGCCUACAACCUGCGCAGGAGCGGCGUGGUACCUUAGAGCUGAGCGAGCGAGCCCGACUUUCAGUUGCCCAAGAUCAACUGUGGUUCAGAAGCCGAUGCUCAUCCUUCUGACAUGUCACCUAACAGUACAUCAGAACAUCUCCAUCGUUUACCUCCCUUUAUCUCAUCACAUAGACAUUUUAUCAUUUCAUACCACCAUAAGAAGGAUAACUGCUGUCACAAAUUUUGUGUUUAUCAUGGAAAUUGUGAAUGCAGCAGCAUUGGGCCUUUGCUUAGCAGUGAAUUACUCAUGUGAUGGACAGAGUCAUGGCAGAAGAAGCGGGGAGAGAGGAAUAAUUGUGAAUAAAGGACCAUCAGCUUCUCUGGUUUCUCUUUAUUUCAUACACAUGCAGAAGCACACAGACACACACAGAUGUACAUGCUACCUUUUCUUCCUCCUCCUCCUCUUCCUCACCAGUGUAUCAGUCCAUCCUUCAUACUGAAGCCAAAUCUUGUGAUCCAGGCCCACAUCCAGCAGCCCAGCCUCCCAGCUUUGCUAUUUUUUCUAUGAACAUUCCCUACCUGUGUGAAUUUGCUCACAGUUGUCUUUUUGCCCCAUGACUUCCCUGAUCUCUGCUAGGUGAAACUGAACCGAUCUUUCAAGAUCCAAAUCCAAAGCAGCCUCCUUCGUGAAGCUUUACAUGAUCACCCUGUUGCAAAGUGAAUUUUCCCUCGUUGUACUGGGUAGAAUCACAGAAAAUGCUUAUUGCAUUGACUCCAAAGGCAGCAAGUAGAACAGAAGAACCAAUAGUCACAUUACAGAUGCCGGAUAAAUAUUGAACGAUGGUCCCAGACUGUGAGCUUUGUCUGUGGAGUCAAGAGCUUGGAGAUGCCACGUGGCCUGGGUUUGAAUAUCAGCUCUACUAUGUACCAGUUGUUUUAUAUUAAACAAAAUUAUUUAACCUUGAAGCCUCAAUUUCUUUAUUUGUAAAAUGGAAGUAAGAAUAGCACCUACCUGGGGUCAUCGUCGGGAGUAAAUGAAUUACUCUGCAUCAAGGGCUUGGCAUCUAGGGAACCUCGUGUAAAUGUUGGCCAUCAUUAUUUUCGGAAGCAACUUUAAUCCUUCCAACUCAUUCAAAUCAGAUGGGACUAACUACGUUAAUUCAAAGGGUGUGUUGGUUUGAAGGGGCUGUUACCGUUAGGAGACGCAGGAACGUAAGAUCACAUGGACAUCCAUCCCACCCAGGCAUGUCAGAAA